GGGCAACACCCUGUUCAAGCUACACAUAGAGGAGCCGUGAGCAACUCUCUGAUGCUGUGUAUCCUAAAGUUGGCUUCCCAGAUGCCACUGGAGAACACCACGGUUCAGCAGAUGGUUUUUAUGCUUCUUUCAAACCUGGCCUUGUCACAUGACUGUAAAGGAGUAAUUCAGAAGAGUAACUUCUUACAGAACUUCCUCUCUCUAGCAUUGCCGAAAGGAGGAAAUAAACAUCUCAGUAAUCUGACUAUUCUUUGGUUGAAGUUACUCCUGAAUAUAUCAUUUGGAGAAGAUGGACAACAAAUGAUUCUGAGGCUUGAUGGCUGUCUAGACUUACUAACAGAGAUGAGCAAAUACAAGCACAAGAGCAGCCCUUUAUUGCCUCUUCUUAUCUUUCAUAAUGUUUGCUUCAGUCCUGCUAAUAAACCCAAGAUCCUGGCUAAUGAAAAAGUCAUUACUGUGCUUGCUGCCUGUCUGGAAAGUGAGAAUCAAAAUGCUCAGAGGAUUGGAGCAGCUGCGCUUUGGGCUCUGAUAUACAAUUAUCAGAAGGUCAGUUUUAAAAAUCAUUGUUACACCUGGGGAGCAAACAACGAGGUAUAACCCAGGUAUAAACUCUUAGGAUACAUCCAAAGGUGUCAAGAGUUACAGCAAAAGAAAAAAGACAAAAUCAAAGACCCGUGUUCCCUUUGCUCAUUCAUACAAUUAGUAAACCAUCAGUUGAAAUCUUUUUAUUUAAUCAUUUCAACAGAAUGUCUCAGUUUAGAAGAGAAUCUCUGAACUGACUUUUUCCUCUUAAUUUAAAUUGAUUUACUGUAUUAUUGCAAUUUUAGUAUAGAUUGUUUCUUCUAAAAGAUGUAUCAAGGGAAAACACAUCUUAAAGUAAAACUGAGUAACAAAAGUUUUAUCCAGUUGUACAAUUCCCCUUUCUCUAGCUCAGUUCUUGUAAGACUGCAGCACAAAGCCUGCUCUGAGAAAAGGGCAGGCAACGUGGAGAUUUGUGUUCUACUCUUUCUCUGGCCUUUGGACUUCUGCUUUAUUGCAGACAUCUCAUUCCUAAGAGAAAUACCCAUAAGUAUCUAGUGAUUAAAUAGUAGCCAAGUGACAGUGUUAGGAUAGACAGCCAUCCUAGAACGGUGUUCUCUCAGCUGACUGUCUCUGCCUGGGCUAGUUUUCUCCCUGCUGGCCAGAGUCACGUACACAAGGACAAGAGGCUGUUGUUUUCUUUCUCACCUGGGUAUCCCCAGAGCUUAGCACAGGAUUUGGCACUUUGUAGUUACUCCAUAAAUAUUUGUUGGCCAACUGCUAACAUUUGGUAUACGUGAUCAGAAAUCUGAGGUUCGAGGGAAUAUGAAAAACUGAAACCAAGUUUGACUAGUUUAAAAUAGCAAAUUGAGAUUGGGGGAGAAGGAGUAAAAGAGAAGGGAAGAAAGAAAAUGGGAAUAGAGAAAGAAUCAAGUUAGAUAAGAGGAUAUGGGCAAGACUUCAGAAUGUGCAAGGGGAUUGGCUCAAUAGGAUGUAUUAUACCAAGAUAGAACUCUCUAGUUAUAUUAUUAUAUUUCAUAAUAUUCUGUUUAAUACUGUAGUUAGCAAUGGGCAGAAUUAGUGUUUUGCUAUCAUGAUCCAUAACACAUGGCAAGAAACCUAAUUAAUGGAUUGUUCUAGGCAAAAACAGCUUUGAAAAGCCCAUCAGUAAAAAGAAGAGUGGAUGAAGCAUACUCCUUAGCAAAGAAAACUUUCCCAAACUCAGAAGCAAACCCUCUAAAUGCCUAUUACUUGAAAUGUCUUGAAAACCUCGUGCAACUCCUUAAUUCUUCCUGAGUGCCAUGAGAUGCUACACCUUGAAGCUGACAGUCAUCAACAGGGGAGCUAAAGUUGAAGCCAGCUGUGUGUAGCAGCUGUUACCUGAAGACAUGCUACCUCUCUACAAAGUGUUGAUCCCCUUCUUUCCCAUCAGAGAGAGAACUGGUGAUACUCCAACACCGUCCGGUCGUGGCAGCUCUCCAGAAGUAAUAGCAGCUGACAAGUUUCUGUGCCUUUUCCUUUCUGUUGAAAAGGCAUAGAAAGUUCUGGGAACAUAAACAUUUUUACCCUUUUCUAUGCCAUUUAUUUUGUAAAAAUCCUAUUUAACAGUUAUUUAAU
RNAcentral lists this small RNA (2136 nucleotides) under Pongo abelii (Sumatran orangutan). Its description in RNAcentral is "retained intron". Lineage: Eukaryota; Metazoa; Chordata; Mammalia; Primates; Hominidae. The record is from RNAcentral.